This 58-nucleotide transfer RNA is filed under the name Panthera leo atrox (American cave lion). RNAcentral's name for it is "partial tRNA-Gln". The record is from RNAcentral. Lineage: Eukaryota; Metazoa; Chordata; Mammalia; Carnivora; Felidae.
AUUGGUAGCACGAAGAUUUUUGGAUUCUUAGGAUUAGGUUCGAUUCCUAUAAUUCUAG